This 216-nucleotide ribosomal RNA is filed under the name Glomeromycotina sp. RNAcentral's name for it is "partial small subunit ribosomal RNA". The stretch from base 40 to 216 matches the Rfam family "Eukaryotic small subunit ribosomal RNA", at positions 686 to 864 of the family's 1831-position model. The record is from RNAcentral. Lineage: Eukaryota; Fungi; Glomeromycota.
GGGUCAGUAGGUUGGUCGUGCCACCGGUACGUACUGGUCUCACUGAUUCCUCCUUCCUGAAGAACCGUAAUGCCAUUAAUUUGGUGUUGCGGGGAAACAGGACUGUUACUUUGAAAAAAUUAGAGUGUUUAAAGCAAGCUAACGCUUGAAUACAUUAGCAUGGAAUAUUGAAAUAGGACGAUCGAUCCUAUUUUGUUGGUUUCUAGGAUUGACGUA